This 581-nucleotide long non-coding RNA is filed under the name Coturnix japonica (Japanese quail). RNAcentral describes it as "lncRNA (ENSCJPG00005009858.1)". The record is from RNAcentral. Lineage: Eukaryota; Metazoa; Chordata; Aves; Galliformes; Phasianidae.
AUUUGCCUGCCUGCCUACCUACCUAACAAAGAUGGGAAGAAAACGGUUUGCAUCCUCUUUCUGAGGAAGAGAAGCUAAGCUCCACAUUAAGCAAUGCUGAGCCAGAAUACCAUCUAAGGUUAUUCGGGCAUCAUUUGUGGCAAGAGAAUGAUCAUAAAUAACCAUAGAGGUACAAAACGUUUUACCUUGCCAAGAGCAAGCUAGAAAGGUCUGAACUUUAAAUCAGAUUUGGUACAUGGAGAAACAAUAACCAAAAGUAUGUUGCUGAGACUUAUUGAUUAAGUGGGAAACAAAAUUACAUAUCUACUUAGUUGAUAAAUCAAAGUGCUUAGGGGUGGGACCAGGAGAAAGAAGUAUGGAGAUGUGCCAGGAAGACCUCAAGAUAGAUAAGAAGUCAUUUUUUGUGAGCUGCAGGACCCUGGUUUUAACUUCCACUUAGGGAUCCAAGUGAAGAGAUUUUUGUAUCUCUUGGUUUUUAAAUCUACCACCCUUCUUCUCAAAGUAAGGAUUAUUUCAUUUUUAAUGUAUCUGUUUCUAUUAUCCUAUUGUUUGGGUAUGUAACCAAAUCAGUGGUGUGCUGU